Molecule: unclassified non-coding RNA, 420 nt
Filed under: Hevea brasiliensis (rubber tree)
Lineage: Eukaryota; Viridiplantae; Streptophyta; Magnoliopsida; Malpighiales; Euphorbiaceae
Source: RNAcentral
CCUUCUAUGAUAUCUUCUAUUGUUCUCUAUGCCUAUCUUGUGUUCUGUUCCACUAUUUGUUCUACUAUUUGUGCUAUGGACUAACUUUUUUACCCACACCUGUCCAUGAUGUGAGAACUCUUGCUUAUUUAACACCAUACCUAGGCGUCGGCAUGCUGCGUUGCUUUCGGUGAACGCCCUACACUCUUGCAUAUUUCUUAUUACACCCGGGCUCCGAUGUAGCGCAUCGUUAGUAGAGGACGCCCCAAUGUUUAUAUCAUUUGCCCUAUGCUCUAUGAGUAAAUUUCCUGGGUGAAGCAGAAAUCCAAGGAUUUUCCUCCUAAAUCACCAUCUAAGAAAACUGAAACAGGGACCCAAGAGGCUGAUCAAAAUUGAAGUCAAAACUCCUAAAUCCAUUUGGGUCUCUCUCUCUCUCUCUCU